Heterocephalus glaber (naked mole-rat) is the source of this 2625-nucleotide long non-coding RNA. Lineage: Eukaryota; Metazoa; Chordata; Mammalia; Rodentia; Bathyergidae. The record is from Ensembl.
GCGUGUGCGCGUGUGCAUGCGUGUGCGUGUGUGUGCGUGUGUGAUAAAUAAUGGUUGCAUCGAAUUCCUGGGCCGCUUGCUUUCUUCAGGUCUUAAUGCAAAACAAAACAUUCACCUCUGACAAUCCUGAUGCCGGUGAAGUCCUCAAUGAAUGGUAACUGCUGCUUUUAUGUUAAAACACGGCUGCGAAGUAUGUCACAUGUCGUGAGACGGUAAGACCGGGGGUGCUUGCGCAGAAACACCGACGAGGAGACGCGCUUCUCAGACAGUGCAUUUGGGAUGGGUUCCUCAACCCGGGCAGGUGGAGAUCCGCAGAGCCUGGGAGGGGACUGUCUCGUGACAGGGGAUGGAGAAGGGGCAAAGGACAACAAAGGGAGUGGAGAAAGUUUUCGGGAGUGAGCAGAAUGGAGAAGCGAAGAAGAGGGUUUCAUACCCACAUUGCCCAGGUGAGACGCAAAGGAUCAGCCGAGCCAAGUCAUGUAACGGAAAAAUAAACACACAAAGAAAUACGCCUCGGGGCCGGGAGGACAUGUUAGGGCCCCUUCCCGAGGCUUCUGUCCUCGCCUCUCUUCUCUUCUCUGGGAGGAAGUGCUAAGAAAGAAGGAAAAAACUGCAAGAUCCUUUCGGUCUCGCUCGGCAUUUGUCGGGUCUUUUUCUGACUCCCCCGUCCUGCGUACAAGAGCAAGAGCAAGGGUUGCACGCUUUGUCAGAGAGAGGGAGAAGCUGCACACGUUCCGGGUGUCUGCCGAGACCUGGGAUCCCAGCACACGUGGGACUGUCACGGCGGACACGUUCUCGGCACAUUCCCAGCUCCGACUCGGCGCCUCCUCUGAGUUCAGGCACUGGGACCCUAACUCCAGGAUCUCAGGAUGCGGCAGGUUUUGAAAAUGGCGUCUUCAUAGACAUGAUGGAAUGAGGUCCCCAGGGUGGCCCCGAGCCCAGGGCUGGGUCCUCCUGAAAAGAGGGCGGGAGGACGCGGACACACACAGGGACGCGCUUGUGAGGACACAGGAAGCCUGGGGGGAGCCAGCGUUGCCCACGCUGGGCCUGGGGCCUGCAGCUCCGGGAUGUCCGAAGUUGAAGGGACCAGGCGAGGGGACUUUAAUUUGCAGAGGGAGGGCACAAUUCUGCUCCUAACAGGAAUUAGGCAUGUGGCAAAAUGCGCCUUCUACAACAGUGCUGCGUACACUGGAAAGCAAUGCAUUCUCUCCCUGGUGCAAACUAGAAAAGAAAAAUCAGAAAAGCUAAGUGAGCAAAGGAAACUGCAUCUAAACAGAGUGUUUUACCUGAGAGGGAAAAAGCACUUGUAUGCUCAUCACAAACGGGUAGGAGCUCCUGGAUUUCAUGUGUCUUAGGAGCAUGAUACGCCCCGGGCCAGCUGAGCCCAGGCUCCUGGCUGGCUCACUUCCAGCCUUCUCCAGCAGAUAUUUUUCAUUUAUUCUUAUCUUUUCUCAAUGCUUUCCCACGGAGGAGUUCAUACAUCUGGCCUCUCCAUGAGAUUCUUGAUGCCACAUUUUUCUCCCUGGAAGCUGGUGUGGUGGCCCACACCUGUCAGCCCACUACUCUCUCGGGAGGCUGAGGCAGGAGGAUUGCUGCAAGUUUGAGAGUGAGACUCCUCGCCCACCGUCCUGUCCCGUUUCUGGGAACCACACACUGCAGCGCAGUUGUUUGUUGAGUGCUUGUGAGGCGAGACCACCCCCCGGCAGCUGGACAGGUCCUCACAGGGAAAGAUGAGCAGCAUCCCGUCACACGUCUCGAUGCCCGGCUCGAAUUUCGUUCCUUCUCUGUUGGAAGGUGCAGCUUAUCUGACCGGAAGCCUCUUCGGUAGGAAAGCCAAUGUGAAACAGGAAAACUGAAUCCAAAUUCAUCCAGCGUAAAAACCCAUGUAAUAUUUUCUUCCCUCUGGAAACGGGGGUGUCCGUGUACUUGACGUGGUUUGCACCAAAACUUAGGCAUGUGGUCCUGCCUGGGAGUUAAACAGGCACACGGAUUUCUUUGGAGAUUUCCAGUUCUUCGAAUGCGAUUUGCAAAAGCCAGAUUCUCUUGUGUGUAGGCUGAGCUGUCUCCCAGAAAACCAGGGGGAGAAGCCAGGCUGUAAAAAGCCCCCAAAGCAUGCAGCGCUCAGUCCUGCGGGUCGGGUUAGGGGCCAGGACUGGGUGUGGUUGUUUCCAAGGGGGAAAAAUUGGUGGAAAAAUACAUGAAUUACUCCCAAGCUACUGGCUGGGUUGGUAUUAUUUAGAAAAGAGUCAACGCGCCUAAUUCGUUCCAGAAGCCUGCUUAUCCAAACAAUGAACGCACUUCAGGCCCCCUCAGGUGAGUCAUCCACGGCCCGUCUCUGCUUUGGAUCAUUGAACUCUCUGUCCACCCAAAUCCAAGACCCAGCUCUGCAAUCAGGUUUUUUUUAUUGUUGUUUUUUUUGCAACCAUUUUAAAAGAGACAUAAAAUAAAACGGAGAGGAAACUCGAUGCCGAGAAACACACAGAGCUGCACACAUCUGGGUUUGAUUGGGGCUGUGUUUUUAUUUCCAUGUUGCAGCUUUCAUUUUUCCAAAUGACCGAUGGGUGAAAAAUUUUUAAUGGCUGUAACCCUUUUUUUCCAACCGACAACGGCGAUCCGGGCUGUCAG